UGAAGCGACUAAGCGUACACGGUGGAUGCCCUGGCAGUCAGAGGCGAUGAAGGACGUGCUAAUCUGCGAAAAGCGUCGGUAAGGUGAUAUGAACCGUUAUAGCCGGCGAUGUCCGAAUGGGGAAACCCAGUGUGAUUCGUCACACUAUCGUUAACUGAAUACAUAGGUUAACGAGGCGAACCGGGGGAACUGAAACAUCUAAGUACCCCGAGGAAAAGAAAUCAACCGAGAUUCCCCCAGUAGCGGCGAGCGAACGGGGAGCAGCCCAGAGUCUGAAUCAGCUUGUGUGUUAGUGGAACGGUCUGGAAAGUCCGACGGUACAGGGUGAUAGUCCCGUACACCAAAAUGCACAGGCUGUGAACUCGAAGAGUAGGGCGGGACACGUGGUAUCCUGUCUGAAUAUGGGGGGACCAUCCUCCAAGGCUAAAUACUCCUGACUGACCGAUAGUGAACCAGUACCGUGAGGGAAAGGCGAAAAGAACCCCGGCGAGGGGAGUGAAAAAGAACCUGAAACCGUGUACGUACAAGCAGUGGGAGCACCUUCGGGUGUGACUGCGUACCUUUUGUAUAAUGGGUCAGCGACUUAUAUUCUGUAGCAAGGUUAACCGUAUAGGGGAGCCGCAGGGAAACCGAGUCUUAACUGGGCGUUAAGUUGCAGGGUAUAGACCCGAAACCCGGUGAUCUAGCCAUGGGCAGGUUGAAGGUUGGGUAACACUAACUGGAGGACCGAACCGACUAAUGUUGAAAAAUUAGCGGAUGACUUGUGGCUGGGGGUGAAAGGCCAAUCAAACCGGGAGAUAGCUGGUUCUCCCCGAAAGCUAUUUAGGUAGCGCCUCGUGAAUUCAUCUUCGGGGGUAGAGCACUGUUUCGGCUAGGGGGUCAUCCCGACUUACCAACCCGAUGCAAACUACGAAUACCGAAGAAUGUUAUCACGGGAGACACACGGCGGGUGCUAACGUCCGUCGUGAAGAGGGAAACAACCCAGACCGCCAGCUAAGGUCCCAAAGUCAUGGUUAAGUGGGAAACGAUGUGGGAAGGCACAGACAGCCAGGAUGUUGGCUUAGAAGCAGCCAUCAUUUAAAGAAAGCGUAAUAGCUCACUGGUCGAGUCGGCCUGCGCGGAAGAUGUAACGGGGCUAAACCAUGCACCGAAGCUGCGGCAGCGACACUAUGUGUUGUUGGGUAGGGGAGCGUUCUGUAAGCCUGCGAAGGUGACCUGUGAGGGUUGCUGGAGGUAUCAGAAGUGCGAAUGCUGACAUAAGUAACGAUAAAGCGGGUGAAAAGCCCGCUCGCCGGAAGACCAAGGGUUCCUGUCCAACGUUAAUCGGGGCAGGGUGAGUCGACCCCUAAGGCGAGGCCGAAAGGCGUAGUCGAUGGGAAACAGGUUAAUAUUCCUGUACUUGGUGUUACUGCGAAGGGGGGACGGAGAAGGCUAUGUUAGCCGGGCGACGGUUGUCCCGGUUUAAGCAUGUAGGCUGGUUGUCCAGGCAAAUCCGGAUAAUCAAGGCUGAGGUGUGAUGACGAGGCACUACGGUGCUGAAGUAACAAAUGCCCUGCUUCCAGGAAAAGCCUCUAAGCAUCAGGUAACAUCAAAUCGUACCCCAAACCGACACAGGUGGUCAGGUAGAGAAUACCAAGGCGCUUGAGAGAACUCGGGUGAAGGAACUAGGCAAAAUGGUGCCGUAACUUCGGGAGAAGGCACGCUGGUGUGUAGGUGAAGCCCCUGCGGGUGGAGCUGAGACCAGUCGAAGAUACCAGCUGGCUGCAACUGUUUAUUAAAAACACAGCACUGUGCAAACACGAAAGUGGACGUAUACGGUGUGACGCCUGCCCGGUGCCGGAAGGUUAAUUGAUGGGGUUAUCCGUAAGGAGAAGCUCUUGAUCGAAGCCCCGGUAAACGGCGGCCGUAACUAUAACGGUCCUAAGGUAGCGAAAUUCCUUGUCGGGUAAGUUCCGACCUGCACGAAUGGCGUAAUGAUGGCCAGGCUGUCUCCACCCGAGACUCAGUGAAAUUGAACUCGCUGUGAAGAUGCAGUGUACCCGCGGCAAGACGGAAAGACCCCGUGAACCUUUACUAUAGCUUGACACUGAACAUUGAGCCUUGAUGUGUAGGAUAGGUGGGAGGCUUUGAAGCGUGGACGCCAGUCUGCGUGGAGCCAACCUUGAAAUACCACCCUUUAAUGUUUGAUGUUCUAACGUUGGCCCCUUACCGGGGUUGCGGACAGUGUCUGGUGGGUAGUUUGACUGGGGCGGUCUCCUCCCAAAGCGUAACGGAGGAGCACGAAGGUUAGCUAAUCCUGGUCGGACAUCAGGAGGUUAGUGCAAUGGCAUAAGCUAGCUUGACUGCGAGCGUGACGGCGCGAGCAGGUGCGAAAGCAGGUCAUAGUGAUCCGGUGGUUCUGAAUGGAAGGGCCAUCGCUCAACGGAUAAAAGGUACUCCGGGGAUAACAGGCUGAUACCGCCCAAGAGUUCAUAUCGACGGCGGUGUUUGGCACCUCGAUGUCGGCUCAUCACAUCCUGGGGCUGAAGUAGGUCCCAAGGGUAUGGCUGUUCGCCAUUUAAAGUGGUACGCGAGCUGGGUUUAGAACGUCGUGAGACAGUUCGGUCCCUAUCUGCCGUGGGCGCUGGAGAAUUGAGGGGGGCUGCUCCUAGUACGAGAGGACCGGAGUGGACGCAUCACUGGUGUUCGGGUUGUCAUGCCAAUGGCACUGCCCGGUAGCUAAAUGCGGAAGAGAUAAGUGCUGAAAGCAUCUAAGCACGAAACUUGCCCCGAGAUGAGUUCUCCCUGAGACUAUAAGUCUCCUGAAGGAACGUUGAAGACGACGACGUUGAUAGGCCGGGUGUGUAAGCGCAGCGAUGCGUUGAGCUAACCGGUACUAAUGAACCGUGAGGCUUAACCUU
Molecule: ribosomal RNA, 2900 nt
Filed under: Klebsiella pneumoniae
Lineage: Bacteria; Pseudomonadati; Pseudomonadota; Gammaproteobacteria; Enterobacterales; Enterobacteriaceae
Description: 23S ribosomal RNA
Rfam family: Bacterial large subunit ribosomal RNA
Source: RNAcentral